Molecule: ribosomal RNA, 492 nt
Filed under: uncultured bacterium
Lineage: Bacteria
Description: partial 16S ribosomal RNA
Rfam family: Bacterial small subunit ribosomal RNA
Source: RNAcentral
AAUGAACGCUGGCGGUAUGCCUAAUACAUGCAAGUCGAGCGAACGCACAGUAAGCGUUCGCCUCUAACGUUAGCGAGUGACGGGUGGGUAACACGUAGAUCGGCAUCUACUUUUUCGUGGGGGAUAACGGAGGGCAACAGCCGAUACCACAGAAUAUGACCUACGGCAUAAAGCAGUGGUGCUUCGGACCUUUCGCGACUGAAAGAGCCGAUGUCGGAUUAGCUAGUUGGCGGGGUAAAGGCCCACCAAGGCGACGAUCCGUAGCUGGUCUGAGAGGAUGAUCAGCCACACUGGAACUGAGACACGGUCCAGACUCCUACGGGAGGCAGCAGUAGGGAAUAUUGGACAAUGGGCGCAAGCCUGAUCCAGCCAUGCCGCGUGAGUGAAGAAGGCCUUCGGGUUGUAAAGCCCUUUUGUUAGGAAAGAAAAGCAGCAGGUGAAUACCCCGCUGUUCUGACGGUACCCAAAGAGUAAGCACCGGCUAACUUCGUG